GGCUGAAAUCCCUCGCUCUCUCCUCUCGGUCUCCAGACGUUCUCUCUUCCUCUCCAGACGCACUCUUGCUCUCUCGUCUGAAUCCCAGAUCCGCCCUCCCUCUGUUCUUGGAAAAUAUUAUUCUUCUUCCCAGAUAUAGCUCCUCGCGAGCAUGUCAGCCUCAGACGUUUGGAUUGCUGUGGCCCGAUCUCAACGACAGAUUGUUCUACAACGACGUCAACUGACACUGAUCGAGUUCUACUCUAGCAAGUACAAUAAUUCAGCUCCAUUGCAAGGGUAAUCAGCUUAUACCAAAUUGCAUUCCAACAAUUUAAAUUAAUUUGAUUUAUUUACUGAUUUAUUUUUGCACUUUAAGCAAUAAAAAAAUGUUUAAUUUGAAGAACAGAUGAAAACUUUGUACUGAUAAUUGA
This 410-nucleotide small RNA is filed under the name Malus domestica (apple). Its description in RNAcentral is "sRNA MD07G0246300". Lineage: Eukaryota; Viridiplantae; Streptophyta; Magnoliopsida; Rosales; Rosaceae. The record is from RNAcentral.